AUUGAACGCUGGCGGCAGGCCUAACACAUGCAAGUCGAGCGGAUGAAGGGAGCUUGCUCCUGGAUUCAGCGGCGGACGGGUGAGUAAUGCCUAGGAAUCUGCCUGGUAGUGGGGGAUAACGUCCGGAAACGGGCGCUAAUACCGCAUACGUCCUGAGGGAGAAAGUGGGGGAUCUCCGGACCUCACGCUAUCAGAUGAGCCUAGGUCGGAUUAGCUAGUUGGUGGGGUAAAGGCCUACCAAGGCGACGAUCCGUAACUGGUCUGAGAGGAUGAUCAGUCACACUGGAACUGAGACACGGUCCAGACUCCUACGGGAGGCAGCAGUGGGGAAUAUUGGACAAUGGGCGAAAGCCUGAUCCAGCCAUGCCGCGUGUGUGAAGAAGGUCUUCGGAUUGUAAAGCACUUUAAGUUGGGAGGAAGGAAAGUAAGUUAAUACCUUGCUGUUUUGACGUUACCAACAGAAUAAGCACCGGCUAACUUCGUG
Molecule: ribosomal RNA, 484 nt
Filed under: uncultured bacterium
Lineage: Bacteria
Description: partial 16S ribosomal RNA
Rfam family: Bacterial small subunit ribosomal RNA
Source: RNAcentral